Molecule: ribosomal RNA, 1324 nt
Filed under: Pseudarthrobacter enclensis
Lineage: Bacteria; Bacillati; Actinomycetota; Actinomycetes; Micrococcales; Micrococcaceae
Description: bacterial SSU rRNA
Rfam family: Bacterial small subunit ribosomal RNA
Source: RNAcentral
UGCUGGUGGAUUAGUGGCGAACGGGUGAGUAACACGUGAGUAACCUGCCCUUGACUCUGGGAUAAGCCUGGGAAACUGGGUCUAAUACCGGAUAUGACCUUCCAUCGCAUGGUGGUUGGUGGAAAGCUUUUGUGGUUUUGGAUGGACUCGCGGCCUAUCAGCUUGUUGGUGGGGUAAUGGCCUACCAAGGCGACGACGGGUAGCCGGCCUGAGAGGGUGACCGGCCACACUGGGACUGAGACACGGCCCAGACUCCUACGGGAGGCAGCAGUGGGGAAUAUUGCACAAUGGGCGCAAGCCUGAUGCAGCGACGCCGCGUGAGGGAUGACGGCCUUCGGGUUGUAAACCUCUUUCAGUAGGGAAGAAGCCGCAAGGUGACGGUACCUGCAGAAGAAGCGCCGGCUAACUACGUGCCAGCAGCCGCGGUAAUACGUAGGGCGCAAGCGUUAUCCGGAAUUAUUGGGCGUAAAGAGCUCGUAGGCGGUUUGUCGCGUCUGCCGUGAAAGUCCGGGGCUCAACUCCGGAUCUGCGGUGGGUACGGGCAGACUAGAGUGAUGUAGGGGAGACUGGAAUUCCUGGUGUAGCGGUGAAAUGCGCAGAUAUCAGGAGGAACACCGAUGGCGAAGGCAGGUCUCUGGGCAUUAACUGACGCUGAGGAGCGAAAGCAUGGGGAGCGAACAGGAUUAGAUACCCUGGUAGUCCAUGCCGUAAACGUUGGGCACUAGGUGUGGGGGACAUUCCACGUUUUCCGCGCCGUAGCUAACGCAUUAAGUGCCCCGCCUGGGGAGUACGGCCGCAAGGCUAAAACUCAAAGGAAUUGACGGGGGCCCGCACAAGCGGCGGAGCAUGCGGAUUAAUUCGAUGCAACGCGAAGAACCUUACCAAGGCUUGACAUGAACCGGACCGCUGCAGAAAUGUGGUUUCCCCUUUGGGGCUGGUUUACAGGUGGUGCAUGGUUGUCGUCAGCUCGUGUCGUGAGAUGUUGGGUUAAGUCCCGCAACGAGCGCAACCCUCGUUCUAUGUUGCCAGCACGUGAUGGUGGGGACUCAUAGGAGACUGCCGGGGUCAACUCGGAGGAAGGUGGGGACGACGUCAAAUCAUCAUGCCCCUUAUGUCUUGGGCUUCACGCAUGCUACAAUGGCCGGUACAAAGGGUUGCGAUACUGUGAGGUGGAGCUAAUCCCAAAAAGCCGGUCUCAGUUCGGAUUGGGGUCUGCAACUCGACCCCAUGAAGUCGGAGUCGCUAGUAAUCGCAGAUCAGCAACGCUGCGGUGAAUACGUUCCCGGGCCUUGUACACACCGCCCGUCAAGUCACGAAAGUUGGU